AGUCGAGCGGUAGCACAGAGAGCUUGCUCUCGGGUGACGAGCGGCGGACGGGUGAGUAAUGUCUGGGAAACUGCCUGAUGGAGGGGGAUAACUACUGGAAACGGUAGCUAAUACCGCAUAAUGUCGCAAGACCAAAGAGGGGGACCUUCGGGCCUCUUGCCAUCAGAUGUGCCCAGAUGGGAUUAGCUAGUAGGUGGGGUAACGGCUCACCUAGGCGACGAUCCCUAGCUGGUCUGAGAGGAUGACCAGCCACACUGGAACUGAGACACGGUCCAGACUCCUACGGGAGGCAGCAGUGGGGAAUAUUGCACAAUGGGCGCAAGCCUGAUGCAGCCAUGCCGCGUGUAUGAAGAAGGCCUUCGGGUUGUAAAGUACUUUCAGCGGGGAGGAAGGUGCUGAGGUUAAUAACCUCAGCAAUUGACGUUACCCGCAGAAGAAGCACCGGCUAACUCCGUGCCAGCAGCCGCGGUAAUACGGAGGGUGCAAGCGUUAAUCGGAAUUACUGGGCGUAAAGCGCACGCAGGCGGUCUGUCAAGUCGGAUGUGAAAUCCCCGGGCUCAACCUGGGAACUGCAUUCGAAACUGGCAGGCUAGAGUCUUGUAGAGGGGGGUAGAAUUCCAGGUGUAGCGGUGAAAUGCGUAGAGAUCUGGAGGAAUACCGGUGGCGAAGGCGGCCCCCUGGACAAAGACUGACGCUCAGGUGCGAAAGCGUGGGGAGCAAACA
This 723-nucleotide ribosomal RNA is filed under the name Enterobacter asburiae. Its description in RNAcentral is "bacterial SSU rRNA". It matches the Rfam family "Bacterial small subunit ribosomal RNA", at positions 60 to 774 of the family's 1533-position model. Lineage: Bacteria; Pseudomonadati; Pseudomonadota; Gammaproteobacteria; Enterobacterales; Enterobacteriaceae. The record is from RNAcentral.